CCUACGGGGUGCAGCAGUGAGGAAUAUUGGUCAAUGGGCUUACGCCUGAACCAGCCAAGUCGCGUGAGGGAAGACUGCCCUAUGGGUUGUAAACUUCUUUUAUAAAGGAAUAAAACGAGGCACGUGUGCCUUUUUGCAUGUACUUUAUGAAUAAGGAUCGGCUAACUCCGUGCCAGCAGCCGCGGUAAUACGGAGGAUCCGAGCGUUAUCCGGAUUUAUUGGGUUUAAAGGGAGCGUAGAUGGGUUGUUAAGUCAGUUGUGAAAGUUUGCGGCUCAACCGUAAAAUUGCAAUUGAUACUGGCAGUCUUGAGUACAGUUGAGGUAGGCGGAAUUCGUGGUGUAGCGGUGAAAUGCUUAGAUAUCACGAAGAACCCCGAUUGCGAAGGCAGCUUACUAAACUGUGACUGACAUUGAUGCUCGAAAGUGUGGGUAUCAAACAGGAUUAGAUACCCGUGUAGUC
RNAcentral lists this ribosomal RNA (460 nucleotides) under uncultured bacterium. RNAcentral describes it as "partial 16S ribosomal RNA". It matches the Rfam family "Bacterial small subunit ribosomal RNA", at positions 338 to 795 of the family's 1533-position model. The record is from RNAcentral.